This 497-nucleotide ribosomal RNA is filed under the name uncultured bacterium. Its description in RNAcentral is "partial 16S ribosomal RNA". It matches the Rfam family "Bacterial small subunit ribosomal RNA", at positions 28 to 507 of the family's 1533-position model. The record is from RNAcentral.
GAUGAACGCUGGCGGCGUGCCUAAUACAUGCAAGUCGAGCGAACAGACGAGGAGCUUGCUCCUCUGACGUUAGCGGCGGACGGGUGAGUAACACGUGGAUAACCUACCUAUAAGACUGGGAUAACUUCGGGAAACCGGAGCUAAUACCGGAUAAUAUAUUGAACCGCAUGGUUCAAUAGUGAAAGACGGUUUUGCUGUCACUUAUAGAUGGAUCCGCGCCGCAUUAGCUAGUUGGUAAGGUAACGGCUUACCAAGGCAACGAUGCGUAGCCGACCUGAGAGGGUGAUCGGCCACCCGAGAACUGAGACAGGGUCCAGACUCCUACGGGAGGCAGCAGUAGGGAAUCUUCCGCAAUGGGCGAAAGCCUGACGGAGCAACGCCGCGUGAGUGAUGAAGGUCUUCGGAUCGUAAAACUCUGUUAUUAGGGAAGAACAAAUGUGUAAGUAACUAUGCACGUCUUGACGGUACCUAAUCAGAAAGCCACGGCUAACUACGUG